CUUCAGGAAAAUUAGUUUGUCAGGUAUAGAGCCAGUGUCACUAAUCUUAGUGGGCCUCAGCAGGACUUGAGACUGGCCAUUGUUGGAGUGGGGAGAAGACCUUCUGAUAUGGUGCUGCUAUAGAGAGAGCUGUUGCCCGCUCCCUCCUGUCUCCUGGGAGGAGAAUGGUCUGCUGGAGUGUAUUCCCGAGCCGAGUGAGGAGGAUCUUCAAGUGGAACUUUCAGAAGCUGAUAGACGGUCACCGUGGUCGAGGAGAUGGUGGACUGCGGCCAGAGCAUGUUAAAGAGGCUUACGGCAGCAGGAUAAACAGAGCUACAUGCUGAUCGGCCAGAGCUGGCAGGGGCAACAGAAGUCCAAGGGUGUCUGUGACCUGGAUGUGGAUCACAUGAAUGAGGGAACUUGCCUGGAGCUGGCAAGAGCACCUCAAAACUGAGUCUGAGAGAGAAGGACCAAGAGCAAAGCACAAGCUGAGGGCAGGUUGAGAGAACCUAGCCGAAGAAAGAUGCUUGUUGCCCAUAUCAUGAAAAUUGGAAGACAAAUAAGAAAGAGGCAGAUGUCAGUUGUGCUGCCCAAGGUGGUCUGGGAAUGAGGAGGAGAAUGGAAUUCCAUGGUGCUGCAGGAAGGCUGGUGGCGCCCUCCCUAUCUUGAUCUCCUUGAAGAUCAUGUGUCUGGCCACCAAAACCUAUCACUGAUGCAGUAAACACACCAGAGCAAGUGACUCCACUCUACAUAUAUCCUUUCUUAGAAUCUUAUCAACACCAACCUUGCAGGAAGUUCCUGAGUUUCAAAAUCAGAUAUAGGUGAGCAUCAGGCAGUUUUGUCACUGCCACCUCACCCAUGCCAACAGCUCCAGGUGCUGCCUCAGAUGCAUGGGUCCCGCAUCAUGCAACUUCCACUUGAGCACCGCUCCCAAGCUCUCAACCACAUUUCCACCUCCCUGCUUGAUAUCUCUCUGUGGAUGUCCAAAUCUUACCUCAAACUCUAUUCCACACUUCUGAAACUCUACAUUCUUCUUCCACAGCAGCGCUCCUCUGUGGAUCACCAAGAACCAUGAAUUUGCUUAAAUCAGCUUCAUCGCUUAAAGAAACACCUCC
Molecule: long non-coding RNA, 1094 nt
Filed under: Equus caballus (horse)
Lineage: Eukaryota; Metazoa; Chordata; Mammalia; Perissodactyla; Equidae
Description: lncRNA (ENSECAG00000047350.1)
Source: RNAcentral